UUAAUCUUAUCACAAUGCUUCACAUUCUUAGGGCAAAAGUGUAUUUGAGCUGCUGAAACUGCUGGAAAAAGGUGACAGAUUGAAACAGCCUAAAACGUGUACACUAGAAUUUUACAAAACAUUGCGGAAUUGUUGGGAACUAGAGCCUGAGAGACGACCAACUUUUGAAGACCUUGUCUAUCAGUUUAAUACCAUGAUGAUGUCUCCCAAAAAAUAUG
Long non-coding RNA from Amphimedon queenslandica, 218 nucleotides. RefSeq lists it as uncharacterized. The record is from RefSeq and is a predicted model, not a curated record. The transcript is spliced from 2 exons. Lineage: Eukaryota; Metazoa; Porifera; Demospongiae; Haplosclerida; Niphatidae.